UCAAAAACGGAUGAGUAGACAAAACACUUUCUUGCCUUAUGAUUCCAGAAAAACAAGAACAGAACAAAACUCCCAGACUCAGAAUUUUGCUUUGGGCACUUAAAGCAAGUUGGCUUCUCCACUCCAAGGAAAGGCAAGAUGCCAGCCAAGCUGUCUUCUUCCCACGAUCAAUAACCCCAGUGACGCAACCUAUCAAGGGCCCCUGCACUUGCACAAAAUGCCAGCUCAGGCACCCAAUACCACCUGAUGUCAUGGCUGAUUUAAAACCCACAAGGCAGGUUCACCAUUAGCUAAGCAGCAGCAGCCAGGUGCUGACAACUUCCUGAAGACAGAAGAGGCCACAUGAGGGACAGAUAGCCUAGAGACCUGAUUGAUAAGCUGCAGACCAUCUCCGGCUUUGCUGAAUGACUUUGGGCAGCCUCUUUGCCUUCCCGGGCUUCCAUUUCUCUCUCCACAAAAUGGGAAGCAUAAUACCUGCCUCUCUGGCUUAUCAAGGUGAAGAAAGGAUGGCUACUAUCAAAAAAGGAUGGAAGGAAGGAAGGAAGGAAGGAAGGAAGGAAGGAAGGAAGGAAGGAAGGAAAACAAGUGUCGGUGAAGGUGUGGAGAAACUGAAACCCUUGUACACUGCUGGUGGGAAUGUGAAAUAGUUCACUUACUAUUAUUAAUUUCAAAAAAUUAAAAAUAGAACUACUAUAUGAUCCAGCAAUCCUACUUUUGUGUAUAUAUUCCCAAAGGAAUUGAAAGCAGGGUCUCAAAGAGAUAUUUAUACACACACACACACACACACACACACACAUAUAUAUAUACACCAUGGGUAUAUACACCCAUGGCCAUAGCAGCAUUAUUCAAAAUAGCCAAGAAGUGGAAACAACCCACAUGUCCAUCAAUGGAUGAAUGGAUAAACAAAUGUGAUGUUUACCUACAAAAGAAUAUUAUUCAGCCUUAAAAAGGGAGACAAUUCUGGGGCGCCUGAGUGGCUUGGUCAGUUAAGCGUCCAACUUCGGCUCAGGUCAUGAUCUCACGGUUCGUGAGUUCGGGCCCCAAGUCAAGCUCUGUGCUGACAGCUCGGAGUCUGGAGCCUGAUUCAGAUUCUGUGUCUCUCUCACUGUCUGCCCCUCCCCCGCUCCUGCUCUGUCUCUUUCUCAAAAAUAAACAUUAAAAAAAAUUUUUUAAAAAGAAAUUCUGCCACAUGCUACAACAUGGAUGCACCUUGAAGUCACUAUGCUACAUGAAGUAAGCCAGGCACCAAACAACAGAUACUGUGUGAUACCGCUUAUAAUGAGGCAUCUAAACUAGUCAAAGUCUAUCAAAUCCAUUGGCUGGCUCAGUCAACAGAGCAUGCAAUUCCCGACCUCGGGGUUUUACAUUAAAAAAAAAUAAUGAGGUAGUCAACAGAAAGUAGAAUGGUGGUUACCAGGGACUGGGGAAAAACAGGGAGGGGGGAGCUAUUUCAUGGGCAUAGAGUUUUAGAUUUGCGAAAUGGAAAAGCUCUGGAGAUGUGUUUUACAACAAUAUCAAUAGAUGUAUAACACUACUGAACUGGACACUUCAAAGUGGUAAAUUUUAUGUUAGAUGUUUUUUUAUUACAACAACAAAAAACAAACAAGAAACCGAUACAUUUGCCUGUAGACCUUCCUUUACUCACUGAAAAAUAGUGGUUAUAAAACAGCCUGUUCAGUAUGAUCCUAUUUUUGUCAAAUAUCCUUUUCCACUUUAAUAUAUACAUUAUCAUUAGAAUACACACUGGAAGAUGAACAAUAGGCUAUUUCUGAGUCCUGAUUUUGUUUUUUCUACCAUUUGUAUUUUCUAACUUUUUUUAAAAAUUUUUUAAAUGU
Molecule: long non-coding RNA, 1835 nt
Organism: Acinonyx jubatus (cheetah)
Lineage: Eukaryota; Metazoa; Chordata; Mammalia; Carnivora; Felidae
Exons: 3
Source: RefSeq, a predicted model, not a curated record